GACGAACGCUGGCGGCGUGCCUAAUACAUGCAAGUAGAACGCUGAAGAGAGGAGCUUGCUCUUCUUGGAUGAGUUGCGAACGGGUGAGUAACGCGUAGGUAACCUGCCUUGUAGCGGGGGAUAACUAUUGGAAACGAUAGCUAAUACCGCAUAACAAUGGAUGACACAUGUCAUUUAUUUGAAAGGGGCAAUUGCUCCACUACAAGAUGGACCUGCGUUGUAUUAGCUAGUAGGUGAGGUAAUGGCUCACCUAGGCGACGAUACAUAGCCGACCUGAGAGGGUGAUCGGCCACACUGGGACUGAGACACGGCCCAGACUCCUACGGGAGGCAGCAGUAGGGAAUCUGCGGCAAUGGGGGCAACCCUGACCGAGCAACGCCGCGUGAGGGAAGAAGGUUUUCGGAUCGUAAAGCUCUGUUGUAAGUCAAGAACGGGUGUGAGAGUGGAAAGUUCACACUGUGACGGUAGCUUACCAGAAAGGGACGGCUAACUACGUG
This 497-nucleotide ribosomal RNA is filed under the name uncultured bacterium. RNAcentral describes it as "partial 16S ribosomal RNA". It matches the Rfam family "Bacterial small subunit ribosomal RNA", at positions 28 to 507 of the family's 1533-position model. The record is from RNAcentral.